GCCAUAGAUUUAGAUUAGGAAUCUUAGAAAUUAAGGAUGGAGAUGCAACCACCCUUCUAUAAGUCUCUACUUAAUUGUAUAAGAGAGGCUUAGUUUUCCAAGCCAUCUCUCUCUCCUCUUUUAGUGAAGAGCAAAGCCAUCCCAAAAUUUGGCCAAAAAUCCUAAUCUUAAUUUUAUUUAGAUUUUAAAAUCUCAUUGUGAACUUUGUAGGUUGAUGUGUAUAAAGUUUUAGUCGUGAAUGAUAGUCAUUGGAUUUUAAAA
This 261-nucleotide long non-coding RNA is filed under the name Physcomitrium patens. RNAcentral describes it as "long non-coding RNA (PPAT_LNC000263)". Lineage: Eukaryota; Viridiplantae; Streptophyta; Bryopsida; Funariales; Funariaceae. The record is from RNAcentral.